GAUGAACGCUGGCGGCGUGCUUAACACAUGCAAGUCGAACGAAGCAUUUAAGACAGAUUCCUUCGGUUUGAAGUCUUUUAUGACUGAGUGGCGGACGGGUGAGUAACGCGUGGGUAACCUGCCUCAUACAGGGGGAUAGCAGCUGGAAACGGCUGGUAAUACCGCAUAAGCGCACAGUACCACAUGGUACAGUGUGAAAAACUCCGGUGGUAUGAGAUGGACCCGCGUCUGAUUAGCUUGUUGGCGGGGUAACGGCCCACCAAGGCGACGAUCAGUAGCCGACCUGAGAGGGUGACCGGCCACAGUGGGACUGAGACACGGCCCAGACUCCUACGGGAGGCAGCAGUGGGGAAUAUUGCACAAUGGAGGAAACUCUGAUGCAGCGACGCCGCGUGAGUGAAGAAGUAGUUCGCUAUGUAAAGCUCUAUCAGCAGGGAAGAUAGUGACGGUACCUGACUAAGAAGCUCCGGCUAAAUACGUG
RNAcentral lists this ribosomal RNA (481 nucleotides) under uncultured bacterium. Its description in RNAcentral is "partial 16S ribosomal RNA". It matches the Rfam family "Bacterial small subunit ribosomal RNA", at positions 28 to 507 of the family's 1533-position model. The record is from RNAcentral.